AAGAGAUUGUCGAUGAGCGUGACGCCGGGGGCGACGGGCAUAAAUACCCUUCUUACCCGGCCGUUCCGCCUA
This 72-nucleotide small RNA is filed under the name Sinorhizobium meliloti 2011. RNAcentral describes it as "putative ncRNA". The record is from RNAcentral. Lineage: Bacteria; Pseudomonadati; Pseudomonadota; Alphaproteobacteria; Hyphomicrobiales; Rhizobiaceae.